This 558-nucleotide ribosomal RNA is filed under the name Aureobasidium sp. Its description in RNAcentral is "eukaryotic LSU rRNA". The stretch from base 186 to 339 matches the Rfam family "5.8S ribosomal RNA". The record is from RNAcentral. Lineage: Eukaryota; Fungi; Ascomycota; Dothideomycetes; Dothideales; Saccotheciaceae.
CAUUAAAGAGUAAGGGUGCUCAGCGCCCGACCUCCAACCCUUUGUUGUUAAAACUACCUUGUUGCUUUGGCGGGACCGCUCGGUCUCGAGCCGCUGGGGAUUCGUCCCAGGCGAGCGCCCGCCAGAGUUAAACCAAACUCUUGUUAUUAAACCGGUCGUCUGAGUUAAAAUUUUGAAUAAAUCAAAACUUUCAACAACGGAUCUCUUGGUUCUCGCAUCGAUGAAGAACGCAGCGAAAUGCGAUAAGUAAUGUGAAUUGCAGAAUUCAGUGAAUCAUCGAAUCUUUGAACGCACAUUGCGCCCCUUGGUAUUCCGAGGGGCAUGCCUGUUCGAGCGUCAUUACACCACUCAAGCUAUGCUUGGUAUUGGGUGCCGUCCUUAGUUGGGCGCGCCUUAAAGACCUCGGCGAGGCCUCACCGGCUUUAGGCGUAGUAGAAUUUAUUCGAACGUCUGUCAAAGGAGAGGACUUCUGCCGACUGAAACCUUUUAUUUUUCUAGGUUGACCUCGGAUCAGGUAGGGAUACCCGCUGAACUUAAGCAUAUCAAUAAGGCGGAGGA